GCAAGCAUAGUACAAUGGUCAGUAUACAAGCUUCCCAAGCUUGGGAUGCGGGUUCGAUUCCCGUUGCUUGCU
Molecule: transfer RNA, 72 nt
Filed under: Ruminococcus sp. CAG:57
Lineage: Bacteria; Bacillati; Bacillota; Clostridia; Eubacteriales; Oscillospiraceae
Rfam family: tRNA
About the family: Transfer RNA (tRNA) molecules are approximately 80 nucleotides in length. Their secondary structure includes four short double-helical elements and three loops (D, anti-codon, and T loops).
Source: Rfam by way of RNAcentral